Molecule: ribosomal RNA, 253 nt
Filed under: uncultured bacterium
Lineage: Bacteria
Description: partial 16S ribosomal RNA
Rfam family: Bacterial small subunit ribosomal RNA
Source: RNAcentral
UACGGAGGAUGCAAGCGUUAUCCGGAAUGAUUGGGCGUAAAGCGUCCGCAGGUGGCUGUGUAAGUCUGCUGUUAAAGAGUGAGGCUCAACCUCAUAAAGGCAGUGGAAACUACAUGGCUAGAGUGCGUUCGGGGCAGAGGGAAUUCCUGGUGUAGCGGUGAAAUGCGUAGAGAUCAGGAGGAACACCGGUGGCGAAAGCGCUCUGCUAGGCCGCAACUGACACUGAGGGACGAAAGCUAGGGGAGCGAAUGGG